UACGUAGGGGGCAAGCGUUGUCCGUAUUUAUUGGGCGUAAAGAGCGUGUAGGCGGCUUGGUAGGUCCGCUGUGAAAACUCGAGGCUCAACCUCGAGAUGUCGGCGGAAACCACUUGGCUAGAGUCCGGAAGAGGAGAGUGGAAUUCCCGGUGUAGCGGUGAAAUGCGCAGAUAUCGGGAAGAACACCUAUGGCGAAGGCAGCUCUCUGGGACGGUACUGACGCUGAGACGCGAAAGCGUGGGGAGCGAACAGG
Molecule: ribosomal RNA, 253 nt
Filed under: uncultured bacterium
Lineage: Bacteria
Description: partial 16S ribosomal RNA
Rfam family: Bacterial small subunit ribosomal RNA
Source: RNAcentral